CCUUACCAAUUUUUUUUGUGUAUUCUAUAUAUGUGUUCCAUUAACAAAUGCAUAAAAUUUUGCAAAAUUCAUUUUUUUUUAAUUUAAAUCUUUGCUCUUUCAUCUUUAAUCAGUAGGCUAUUUUCCCAAGGAAAAUGCCUAAGGGGAUUGAACACUUCGUUAGUGCAACUAGUAAGAGUUCACUUUCAUAAAUAACCGACAAUGAAAAGUCAUUCAUGUAUAGCAUUUCAUAGUGCAUGGAAAACCAUGUACUAUGAAAAUUAGAGGGCAAAAAACUGACUUCUCA
Molecule: long non-coding RNA, 286 nt
Filed under: Mytilus galloprovincialis (Mediterranean mussel)
Lineage: Eukaryota; Metazoa; Mollusca; Bivalvia; Mytilida; Mytilidae
Source: RNAcentral